CUCGUCUGCACGGCGCAGGGCAGCAGGAGUUUUCUCUGCCUGAGCGCAGGGCCCCGCCCGCUCCCCCUGCUGCCACCGGGGCUGCAGUGCUGGGCAGCUGCUUGUGCCGGGCUUCAUCUGCACCACAUCCACGGCACCUCACAAACGUGCUGGUGCUGGGAGGCUGCUGCACAUGUGAGCGACAGCAGCUGGGGAGGACGGAGACUGCACUUCUUAUGCUGGCUUGAAGGGCUUGGGGAGCUAUAAUAUUCUCCCCUCUUUCCCCACCUAUUUAUGGGGACGGCAGCUUCUCCAGAGGGCAGUAGAAGCUGUUUUAAUGGCCCUGGAACUCCACAGUAGUCUUUAGAAUUCUUUCACGUGUCCCUAAAUGUCAGCUCUCACGGGGCCAAUGGAGACACCUGCUUGGGCUUUCUUUCGCAGAUGUCCCAGAUCCCCACAUGCGCAGCCAGUGCUUUCUGGCACGUCCUGGCUCACUGCAGCUCGCUGUCAAAAUAGUUCUAACUAUCUGACAACGUGUUUAUUGAACAAGUUGUUCUGAUGCGGUGCUGGAUAUUGAGCAACACGGCGGGCUGUAGAUCUCUCUCAGGGAUGCACUCCUAUUUCAUUUGGCUCUUGUGCCUGUUGCCAGUUCUAGGGAGGAAGGUCAGAGCUGAGUUCUACUUCUUUUUGUUUGCCUUGCUGUCCUCUGUGUGUUCAACUCAUAGCAAUGUUGAAUACCAUUCAUAACAGCCUUUUUUGUGUAUGUGUGGGGGGGAGGCAACAGAGGGAACCACAUACCCAUUUCUGAAGCCUCCUUUUUGCCAUGAGUGAGUUAGAGUCACUGAAAGUGGUGAAGAUCAAGAAUCCCUUUGCCGUAUAAUUGUACAGUGAAAAGGCUUCCCAUCAUUGGCAGAGGAGUCUCAGUGCUGUGCAGUGGUCUGUCCAACGCAGCAGAUACUUCCCAGCAUACCAGACUGAAUCCAAAGGAACUGGUGAAGGGUGAAGACAGAACUGUUGGUGGUGGAUUUGAAUUUCAAUGUCAACUCAUGGAGGAUUUCUCACUCUGAACACUGCUCCAAACACCGAAGGGAAGGGAUCCAGCCCUGGCCCACAGGAACCUGACCUCGGUGAGGGGAAGCUCUGAGCCUGGAUCCUCUUUGCAGCCCAUAGCUCAGCACUUGGAUGUUUCAUGUCUUGCGUCAGACUCUCCCAUUUGAGCUGACUGUGGAGCCACUUCAGUGCUCAGCAUCAGCUAGAGCCAAGGGUGCAGUGGAAAACACCAAGAAAACCAAAGUAAGGGCACUUCAGGUGACCACCCAGAGCCUCAUGAUUGGUCUUUCUGAUGUUAGACUGCAUAGGGCUUAGGGAAGACAGACCACCUGCCUGCAGCCCAGCAGUGGAACUCAUCAUCCACCUGAAUGCCUCAUAAAUGAAAGUGCUUCCUAGCACAGACUCAGGUUUCCCAGCAGUGCUCUGGAUGCUCUUCAGCAGCGCACACAGUGGCAGUCAGUCCUGACUGAAGUGACCGCUGCCCUGACUGUGCAGUGCUGCUGGCAGGAGCUGUGUGGUUCUGCUGGGUUUCAGCAGCCUGCUCCUGCUCUGAGCCUUCAGCAUCUUCCAGCCCACUGAGAGCCACUGGCCAAUGUACAGAGGAAAGGAGAACUGCUCACACCAAGCCCUCAGAAGAGAAGCUUUUUUCACUGCUUGGCAUGUGGGCUGUCCUGUUCCCACCAGCAGCAGCACUGCCACCCAACCCAGCUCUUGUUCUGUUUGGAUGUACAAGUGCUCCCACCCUGCACUCAGUCCACCUUUGCUCCUCCAACCAUCAUGCCAGCUCUCCGCAGCCCUUCUUCCCACUCCAGGUUCACUUUUGUGCUUCUUCAGAGCACCUCCUCCUGCAUGUGCUUCUCCCCAUGCUACCCCUCUCCCUUUUGUCUGGGCUCCUGGCGUCUGAUCACCAACGAGAUGAGAUCUGCUGCCUCAAGUCUGUGAGCACUGCUGCAGCUUUGCAGAGAAGAGAGCUCUGGUGAAGACACACAGCCCUUCUCUUCGGGUCUGUGCAGGACCCAAGCUGCCUUUCUCUUUCAGCAUUUCUGGAGGAAGAUGAAUGUCUCGAAGCCAUGUGCACAAGCACAAAACAAGUUUUGGCUGUGGUUAUUUUUUCAAUAAAUGCUAUUUCUGACUAUUAUCAGCAAUAAAUGGCAUCUUGUCAAAAGCAGGCAGGCAGUACCCGAAUGUGCAGAAGUACUGCAUUCAUUUUAACAGCACGAUGGGCAGAGGCUGUGCAGCCCUGAUUCCUGAAUGGCAAAGCCCGGCAUAAGGUGCUGCUCUGGGGCUCCCAGAGAUUCCCAUCACAAAGCUCAUCUCCCAUCCGCCAUCAGAGCCAGCCAAGUGCUCACUGCGCAUGGAGUCCUUUCUCCGGGCAGCUGUGCCCUUGGAGAGGGCAGCGGGGAAAGCAGAGUCUGGUUGCGAUACUUCAGCUAAUACAAUCAUUGCAGAAAACCAGAACGAAUUCUGCAGGAAAAUAUAUAGUAACAUGAGGACAUCAGCAAGCAUGGGAUGGCAACAGAUGGGCUCUUUGAGCACUCAGCUAAGCGUAUUCAUCGCACUGCAUUUAUUGCUCUUCAAAGAAUGCUGAGAUUUCCUUCUUCAUUAAGUUUGUUGAGAAGCAAUGAAAGCUCAUGCGAUUUUAUUUUUAAGUAUUGUUUUACUACCCAACAGCAACAGCAGAUUCAUAAAAUGACACGUGAUUGACCAGGACCAUGGAGAAAAAAACUGUUUUCUUGGUACAUUCUUAUUAGUCUUGGCUAAGAUGUUAUAAAAGCAGUAUCUUUUAACACCUUUUAUUAUACAAGGGUCAGGGGGUUUUUAUGUUUCUUAAAGAAAGCUUCAAAUAGCCCACAUAGCGGGCUGCUGCUCCUUUCAUAUGGCUGCUGCACAAACAAGCACAUUUUACACGGGAAAUGACAUAACCAUGUAAAAGUGUACAUGGAGUUUAGGCACAUAUUCAAACACUAAUGGGAAUGCAUUGUUUUAAAUGGCAUACUUUUAUGUUUACCUAUUCAGCUUAGUGCCCAUAUUUUAGCCAAAUACAACAAAAAUUAUCCACACAUACCUGUCUUAUGGUGUGCUGUUUAUUUGAAAAUUUGGACUUUCACAAAGACUCUCGUGGGACAGAUAAUGACCCUAAAAAGUAAAUACAAAUGAGGCAUUCUCAGUGAGAGAGUGAGACCUGCCAUCGUAAAGGUGGAAAGCUGAACUUUUAACCUGCGUUGCUCUACAGCUCAGGUUUCCACACGUUUCAGCCAUGCAGUUGCUAACACCGACUCACCCCUGGGAAGAAAGCUGUGACCAUAACGUGGGGUGUCUAUCUUUGCACGUUGUAUAAUGACCGCACUAAAGAAAGCGGUGCCAAACUUCUGCAAGACCCGAGGCCCUCUGCUUCUUCCCAGUUUCUAUGCUGUGUGUCAAGUCCCACACGGUGCCCUGUCCCCAAAUCUCUGCUUUCAUGGAGGAAUGAGGCCCAAACGUGUCCAUCUGGGCUCUACUUCUGGGUUUUCUUCCAUCAGGAACGUCUGUAAUGGCCACCAAUCCCACUCCUUGAGAGCUUCAAGACAAGUUUCCACUCUCACUCCAGAUAACAAGAUCUGAAAUGUAGAAAUGGAACGCAUAUAUGGAAUUAAGGCUAUUAAAAGUAAGCUCAUGGCGGCCUCUUUUUGUUGCUGUUGGAGUUGUGGGUGAUAUGAGAAUAAAAGAAACAGCUUUGAGACAA
Coturnix japonica (Japanese quail) is the source of this 3751-nucleotide long non-coding RNA. RefSeq lists it as uncharacterized. Lineage: Eukaryota; Metazoa; Chordata; Aves; Galliformes; Phasianidae. The record is from RefSeq and is a predicted model, not a curated record.